This 65-nucleotide transfer RNA is filed under the name Siren lacertina (greater siren). Its description in RNAcentral is "tRNA-Ala". It matches the Rfam family "tRNA". From Rfam's summary of the family: Transfer RNA (tRNA) molecules are approximately 80 nucleotides in length. The record is from RNAcentral. Lineage: Eukaryota; Metazoa; Chordata; Amphibia; Caudata; Sirenidae.
AAGGCUUUAUCUUAAUUAAUCUGAGUUGCAUUUAGAAGAUGUAGGGUAGAAUCCUGCAAGUCUUA